This 313-nucleotide unclassified non-coding RNA is filed under the name plant metagenome. Its description in RNAcentral is "partial contains 5.8S ribosomal RNA, internal transcribed spacer 2, and large subunit ribosomal RNA". The stretch from base 1 to 105 matches the Rfam family "5.8S ribosomal RNA", at positions 50 to 154 of the family's 154-position model. The record is from RNAcentral.
GAAAUGCGAUACGUAGUGUGAAUUGCAGAAUUCAGUGAAUCAUCGAAUCUUUGAACGCACAUUGCGCCCUUUGGUAUUCCAAAGGGCAUGCCUGUUCGAGCGUCAUUUGUACCCUCAAGCUUUGCUUGGUGUUGGGCGUUUUUUGUCUUUGGCUCGCCCAAAGACUCGCCUUAAAACGAUUGGCAGCCGGCCUACUGGUGUCGCAGCGCAGCACAUUUUUGCGCUUGCAAUCAGCAAAAGAGGACGGCAAUCCAUCAAGACUCCUUCUCACGUUUGACCUCGGAUCAGGUAGGGAUACCCGCUGAACUUAAGC